Brassica oleracea var. oleracea is the source of this 1788-nucleotide RNA transcript. RefSeq lists it as uncharacterized. The transcript is spliced from 8 exons. Lineage: Eukaryota; Viridiplantae; Streptophyta; Magnoliopsida; Brassicales; Brassicaceae. The record is from RefSeq and is a predicted model, not a curated record.
CUCUUUAAUCUCUGAGCAUCUUCACCAUAAAAGAGUGUCAGGAGUAUGAGUGAGUUGAAUAGUCUAGAAGAAUCUAUGUAUGAAUAUUCGAUUGAGUCGUUACGUCUUUCUUCCACAAAUUCUCAUUCACUACAUCCUCUACUCUCUUUGGUUCUCUGAACCUAUAGCUAUGAAUAGGUGAGUUUGCCUCCACCAAAUUUAUCAUUCCACUGCUCACAAUAAUAUUAUUCCAAAAGCUUCUGCAUAACAGAAUUGCUAAUUCAUCUCUCCUCAUUGCUGAUUUGAAAGCUCCGGCGUCGUAGCAAUUCCGAGCGUAGCUAGAAGUUUCUUACUGUGUUUAUGACUGUGGGGUUUUUUUUCGGUAUCGUACGCUGCAAGGUCCGGCGUAUCUAAGCAGGAGUUCGAAGUUAAGAAGCAUAUGAACAGUCUAAAUAAACUUGUUGUCAAGAGCGUUCAAGUAGGUACACAUUGUGUCGAGAAAACAAGGUGGGAUCUCGAAUCCAGUAGCAGGUGAAGCUAUGGUUCUGUGUUUUAACAGAUUUUCGCGAACGCUACCAUCCCGCACAAAACGCAGUUCAACUUCUCGGACACGUAUCGAGAAUGAUACUGGAGUAUUGGAAUCAACGGCAAGCGUCUUCGAUUCAUAGUUUAGAGUCUGCUUCUAUGAGAUGAUCCCGUCCAGAUAUCGAGUGGAGAUGUCCGUUACUGAUGAAACCACUGAGGGCCUGUUCGUCUGUUUCGAUGGGGUUAUGACAAAACUGCAUAGCAUUAGAGCCAAUGAAGCUGGCCAUCUUCUGGCUGGCGAAGGAGUGAAACCGGAAGAAACUCAGGCUCCUCCCUUUGUUGCAGCAAUGGAAGGUAAAACCUACAUAUUCCAGGUGAGAGUUAGUUCCUACAACUUCAAAGCAAAUCACCAAACCCUUACAAUCUCCCGGUGUAAAACGGGACGAGGUGAAGCGUUUAAAAAGGGAGGCUGCUGAGACAGAAAGGAAUCACAUAGAAGAAUAAGAAGGCCCGAGAGAGAACAGAGCGUCAAGCUGCAGUGAGAGAGAGAAAGAAGCUGCUAGACUGAGAAUAAUGAGGCAAGAACAGGCACUUCAUCUUGACGGAUCUGAGAAAGGACCUGAUGCUACACAUGAGUCAGCGGAAGUUGUUUGAUUCUUUGUUGAUGCUAAGAUGAAUUCUCUGUUAUCAUUCAUUCUGACAUGCUUGAAGAAGAUCUGAACAAAGGUUUACAACUUUGGAUCAAUCUUCCAUCUGACGAGAAAAUAAAAUAAACAAACUACCAAAAACUGCUGGUUGUUGACGUACCAAAAGCAAAAGAAAAUGGUGUCCAAGUUGGUCAUCGCUGGGGAACCAAUGGGAAUUCAAUCCCUGUUUUGUACACCAACACUGUUCCUCGAAUUUGCUCUCGAUCCGGGAGCUCAGCUCCACCAUGACGUUCCGGAAUCGUGGAAAGUGUUUGCUUACGUUAUAGAAAGCAGAUCCAUUUUCCGGGUCCUCUGAACGCUUCCUAUGUUUCAGCACUGAACGGUUGUUGUGUUCGGUCAAUGCAAUGAUGGAGUUAGCGUGUGGAAAGAAAUUGAGGUUUGUUAUUAUAGCUGGAGAACCGGUGGUUCAGUAGGUCCGUUCAGUAUGACUUCGAAGUGAAUCAUUUUAACUUAAUAUUGAGUCUCUUUUUCACACCUUUGCUGAAGCCGUUAUAUUAUCUUCUCUGUUGAAUUUUCCUGUAAACAAUUUGAAUUUGUUUUGCAAUUACAAAACCAUAAUCAUGUCCUUUUUUCUCAA